Molecule: long non-coding RNA, 370 nt
Filed under: Felis catus (domestic cat)
Lineage: Eukaryota; Metazoa; Chordata; Mammalia; Carnivora; Felidae
Description: lncRNA (ENSFCAG00000049813.1)
Source: RNAcentral
CAGAGAACAAAACACGUAGCGAGUGGUCUGGGACAAAGCACAGGACCCAAACCCUGAUGUUGAAGAAUGGUCUGGAUUGAUGUGGAACUUUGUUCCAGCAGAGCCCAUCCGUUUAUGGUGCAGAGAUUGCCCAGAGCUCAUCUCCCCCGUAUAACCUUACCUGAGAAAGAAGGCUAGAAGAAGAGAGAGAAAAAGGAGGAAUGGCUCUUCUCCAGUGUCAUCGUGGCUGCUUCUGAGAAGACUGACUUCACUACAGAUAUCUAAGGAUAUCUUAUGGUUGUACAUCUUAAGCAUGUUAAUGAUGGUCUUUCUGAGGAGGCAGAGACAUUCCACUUAAUAAAGAUUUAAUUUUUUUUUUUUUUAUAUUUAU